CGAGAGGACCGGAGUGGACGCAUCACUGGUGUUCGGGUUGUCAUGCCAAUGGCACUGCCCGGUAGCUAAAUGCGGAAGAGAUAAGUGCUGAAAGCAUCUAAGCACGAAACUUGCCCCGAGAUGAGUUCUCCCUGACUCCUUGAGAGUCCUGAAGGAACGUUGAAGACGACGACGUUGAUAGGCCGGGUGUGUAAGCGCAGCGAUGCGUUGAGCUAACCGGUACUAAUGAACCGU
This 234-nucleotide ribosomal RNA is filed under the name Escherichia coli. RNAcentral's name for it is "partial 23S ribosomal RNA". It matches the Rfam family "Bacterial large subunit ribosomal RNA", at positions 2684 to 2912 of the family's 2925-position model. The record is from RNAcentral. Lineage: Bacteria; Pseudomonadati; Pseudomonadota; Gammaproteobacteria; Enterobacterales; Enterobacteriaceae. RNAcentral also lists the same sequence under 1 other name.